AGCUGGUUCUCCCCGAAAUAACUUUAGGGCUAGCCUUCCAGGAUAAGCGUAAUGGAGGUAGAGUACUAAAUGGGCAAGGAGGCCUACCAGGUCUUCGAAUCCAAUUAAACUCCGAAUACCAUUAUUGUUGCUGGAGGAGUCAGACUGUGGGGGAUAAGCUCCAUGGUCGAAAGGGAAACAGCCCAGACCAUUAGCUAAGGUCCUUAAAUAUGAACUAAGUGGUAAAGGAAGUAGAGUCACUCAGACAAUCAGGAUGUUGGCUCAGAAGCAGCCAUCAUUUAAAGAAAGCGUAACAGCUCACUGAUCGAUUUGAGGUCUCUAAAAAUCGUAAGAUUUGCAGAGACUUUUGUGAUUCUGCGCCGACAAUGUAACGGGGCUCAAGUUCAUUACCGAAGCUGUGGCCCUGAACCGUUUCUGGUUCAGGGGGUAGGGGAGCAUUCCCUAAGCGAGUGAAGCCUGACCGUAAGGACAGGUGGACGUAUGGGAAGAGAGUAUGCCGGUAUAAGUAACGAAAAAAUCUGUGAAAAACAGAUUCGCCGAAAGUCUAAGGUUUCCUGGGGAAGGUUAAUCCGCCCAGGGUUAGUCGGUUGCUAAGUCGAGGCUGAAAAGCGUAGAUGAUGCACAAUCCGUUAAUAUUCGGAUACUAUUUGAAAACCGUUUUGAGCGAAGGGGGGACACAGAAGGAUAGGUCAGCCACAUAUUGGAUAUUGUGGUUUAAGCCCGUAGGUUGGAGAAUGAGAUAAAUCCUUGUUUUCCGUUUAAAACCGAGAGGCGAAUAGGAGCUCAAUCUUCGGAGCGAGCGAACUGAUUGAUUCCACGCUGUCAAGAAAAACCUCUAAGCAAGGUUUUCAGGUAACCGUACCGCAAACCGACACAGGUAGACAAGCAGAAUAUGCUAAGGCGCUCGAGAUAACUCUCGUUAAGGAACUCGGCAAAUUGACCCCGUAACUUCGGAAUAAGGGGUGCCCUGUUAGUGUGAGGCGUUUUUACAAUUUCUCGCACGAGAGGGUUGCAAAAAAAUGGCUCCUA
Molecule: ribosomal RNA, 1029 nt
Filed under: Bacteroidales bacterium
Lineage: Bacteria; Pseudomonadati; Bacteroidota; Bacteroidia; Bacteroidales
Description: partial 23S ribosomal RNA
Rfam family: Bacterial large subunit ribosomal RNA
Source: RNAcentral